Chelonia mydas (Green sea turtle) is the source of this 716-nucleotide long non-coding RNA. RefSeq lists it as uncharacterized. The transcript has 3 exons. Lineage: Eukaryota; Metazoa; Chordata; Testudines; Cheloniidae. The record is from RefSeq and is a predicted model, not a curated record.
CCCGCGGCUGGCGGCCUGGUGCGCAGGCGUAGCAGAGACAUCAUCGACUGUCGUUGAGCUCAACGCGGACUCGCGCUGAGUCUAUGGUUACUUAUAGCCCCGGUGGGCUCAGGUCACUUUAGUGGAGCCCCGGUGAUGACGUCAGAGGUAACGCAGCCAAUCCCCCCACCAUUGCUGUACUGCUUAUUUGCAUGAGGGAGUUCGAUUGGUUGGAAUGGCUCAGUGGUCUGAGUUUGAUCCGACUCAUGCAUGAACAGUUCCUUCCUAUCCCUACCUCACUUGGCCCAACUGUUAGGGCUGCCUGCUCGUUUGUGCAUGGAGCCAGCACUGCUGGGGAAACUGAGGCCAAGGGAUAGGAAACAAUAGACGUGAGCUGCGUGAAUCAAAGCGCUUCAUCUAGUGUUGAGGCUUUGAGGAGACAAUUGUCGAGGGGUUUGAAUUCCUAGAGACCGGAGAGUUGCCCUUGAGUCUUUCAUUGAAUGAAGUACGUCGUUCGUCGUGGAGGCAAAGAGUUUGUCACCGUCGAAGGGAAGAUCUUCAAUGGUAUUCUGGACCUCUCGAGGAAAGGAAGAGGAGGAGAGCCAUGAACCUCAGCGCAUGACCACUCCUGUAGCAGUGGAUCUUGCUGCAAUGUUGGCUGCAUCGAGGGCGGUUUGAAGAGCGGUACGUGAGAUGAUCUGUCCCUCAGAAACUAGAGCCGUGAAUAGUUUUUUCUU